Molecule: ribosomal RNA, 443 nt
Filed under: uncultured bacterium
Lineage: Bacteria
Description: partial 16S ribosomal RNA
Rfam family: Bacterial small subunit ribosomal RNA
Source: RNAcentral
CCUACGGGGGGCAGCAGUGGGGGAUAUUGGACAAUGGGGGGAACCCUGAUCCAGCGACGCCGCGUGAGUGAAGAAGUAUCUCGGUAUGUAAAGCUCUAUCAGCAGGGAAGAAGAAAUGACGGUACCUGAGUAAGAAGCCCCGGCUAACUACGUGCCAGCAGCCGCGGUAAUACGUAGGGGGCAAGCGUUGUUCGGAAUGACUGGGCGUAAAGGGUGUGUAGGUGGUUUGAUAAGUUAGAUGUGUAAUACCCAGGGCUUAACUCGGGUGCUGCAUCUAAAACUGUUAGACUUGAGUACUGGAGAGGAUAGUGGAAUUCCUAGUGUAGCGGUGGAAUGCGUAGAUAUUAGGAGGAACAUCAGUGGCGAAGGCGACUAUCUGGACAGCAACUGACACUGAGGCACGAAAGCGUGGGGAGCAAACAGGAUUAGAUACCCGAGUAGUC